Molecule: long non-coding RNA, 216 nt
Filed under: Capsella rubella
Lineage: Eukaryota; Viridiplantae; Streptophyta; Magnoliopsida; Brassicales; Brassicaceae
Description: long non-coding RNA (CRUB_LNC001915)
Source: RNAcentral
CAUUUGAUAAAGGUAUUAGCAUUUUAACACCUACUACAAAAUCUAAGAUAAUUAAAAAGUUUCAUAAAAUCUUCAAAUUAUUAUUAAAUUUACUUAUAAUAUAUAAAACAUGUUGGGAUUUUACAUACAAAUCUUAAUGUCUUAUUUAUUUUUGAGACUCUUUUAAACGGUUUGACUUUUUUGUGCACUAAUCAAAUUAAUAGUCACCUUUCUUAC